Molecule: long non-coding RNA, 776 nt
Filed under: Gallus gallus (chicken)
Lineage: Eukaryota; Metazoa; Chordata; Aves; Galliformes; Phasianidae
Description: lncRNA (ENSGALG00010004799.1)
Source: RNAcentral
CCGUAGAGUCUGGUUUGUUAAAAUUCCAAUAUAAAACUAAUUUAUAUUUGACAUUAAUGAGUUAAGAAAUGUUUUAUACAGUACAUCAGGGCUGAAAGAGAACUUUACAGCAUUCUAGUAAAAGCAAAUUGCUUCUGAGUAUGACUAUUAUAUAAAAAACAAAAAAUCUUACACUAACCUAAGCUACUUGUCCUUUCAAAAUCCUGUGAUUUUUAAUGUUUAUGUUAAGAAAGGAUUGAAAAAUUAACAAAGCUAAUUUUUUUCCCUCACUUACAUUCUAUUGGUGGGUUGUAAUUUAACAACUUGGAAGAGAUUUUUUUCCUCAGCUUGGAUGUCUGUACCAGAAAGAAGUGACUAUGGAGAGCUGUCUGGUAUUCUGGAUGAAGAAGAAUGAAAAUAACACUGAACAAAGUGCUCUUCUGGAGAACCAACCUGAAGGCAAGAUCCAGUUCUGGGAAAGAAGAACGCUGAUUGGAACAGGAAUAGAGGAAAGAAACAAGGAUAAUCAGGGAAGGAGGAGAGACACUGCAAGAGAUUGGAAUGUUCAGUCUAAAAGAAUGAAAGCUAAACACAGAACAUCAGAAUUUUUAAACAGCAGGCAAUUGGGUGUCAACUUUCUCAACUGUUCCUGAACAAAUUUUUGUCUGGAAAUAGUAAGAUGAUUUCUGCCUAUCACAGAUUCUGAAACAUACUUUUGAUGAGAGAAGGAACUAAGUUCCCAAUCAAUUAAGAUACCAGUAGAUGAACAGGAUGACACAUCAUGUGCUUUUGUGAUA